GGUGAUUUCUGUGAACAAAUAGGUUUACCACCUGUAACUUUUCCUCAUAAAAGGAAAGUUAAAGGGGGAAGGAGAGUAGUAAAAGGUAAAAAAUGGUUUAAAAAAUAUCCUAAAAAGGAAAAAAGUGAAUCCUAUUGUUAUAAUAAAUUAGAAUGUUUAGUUGUCAAUUUCAUACAAGUAUAUAUAUGAUAUCAUAUAAAUAGUAUAGAGGGUGAUAUCAUAUGAAAAGGAUGAUAUAAUAUCAUAUGAAU
RNAcentral lists this unclassified non-coding RNA (251 nucleotides) under Hevea brasiliensis (rubber tree). Lineage: Eukaryota; Viridiplantae; Streptophyta; Magnoliopsida; Malpighiales; Euphorbiaceae. The record is from RNAcentral.